RNAcentral lists this ribosomal RNA (429 nucleotides) under uncultured bacterium. Its description in RNAcentral is "bacterial SSU rRNA". It matches the Rfam family "Bacterial small subunit ribosomal RNA", at positions 355 to 776 of the family's 1533-position model. The record is from RNAcentral.
UGGGGAAUCUUGCGCAAUGCGCGAAAGCGUGACGCAGCAACGCCGCGUGGGGGAAGAAGGCCUUCGGGUCGUAAACCCCUUUCAGUUGGGACGAAGGUCGGGCCGUUAAUAGCGGUUCCGUCUGACGGUACCUUCACAAGAAGCCCCGGCUAACUACGUGCCAGCAGCCGCGGUAAUACGUAGGGGGCAAGCGUUGUCCGGAAUCAUUGGGCGUAAAGAGCGUGUAGGCGGCCCGGUAAGUCCGUUGUGAAAGUCGAGGGCUCAACCCUCGAAUGCCGGCGGAUACUGUCGGGCUAGAAUCCGGAAGAGGCGAGUGGAAUUCCUGGUGUAGCGGUGAAAUGCGCAGAUAUCAGGAGGAACACCAAUGGCGAAGGCAGCUCGCUGGGACGGUAUUGACGCUGAGACGCGAAAGCGUGGGGAGCAAACAGG